CCUACGGGGUGCUGCAGUGGGGAAUAUUGGACAAUGGGCGAAAGCCUGAUCCAGCCAUGCUGCGUGUGUGAAGAAGGCCUUCGGGUUGUAAAGCACUUUCAGUGGGGAAGAAAGCCUUGGGGCUAAUACCCUCGAGGAAGGACAUCACCCACAGAAGAAGCACCGGCUAACUCCGUGCCAGCAGCCGCGGUAAUACGGAGGGUGCGAGCGUUAAUCGGAAUUACUGGGCGUAAAGCGCGCGUAGGCGGUCUGAUAAGCCGGUUGUGAAAGCCCCGGGCUCAACCUGGGAACGGCAUCCGGAACUGUCAGGCUAGAGUGCAGGAGAGGAAGGUAGAAUUCCCGGUGUAGCGGUGAAAUGCGUAGAGAUCGGGAGGAAUACCAGUGGCGAAGGCGGCCUUCUGGACUGACACUGACGCUGAGGUGCGAAAGCGUGGGUAGCAAACAGGAUUAGAUACCCGUGUAGUC
RNAcentral lists this ribosomal RNA (465 nucleotides) under Vreelandella stevensii. Its description in RNAcentral is "partial 16S ribosomal RNA". It matches the Rfam family "Bacterial small subunit ribosomal RNA", at positions 338 to 795 of the family's 1533-position model. The record is from RNAcentral. Lineage: Bacteria; Pseudomonadati; Pseudomonadota; Gammaproteobacteria; Oceanospirillales; Halomonadaceae.